Molecule: non-coding RNA, 7173 nt
Organism: Labrus bergylta (ballan wrasse)
Lineage: Eukaryota; Metazoa; Chordata; Actinopteri; Labriformes; Labridae
Source: RefSeq, a predicted model, not a curated record
CUUAACAGGAAACGGUGACCCUAUUUAAUCUUUUUUUUUUACAUUUUGACUGAUUAGUACAAAAAUAUGCAUCGGAGCUAACCUUUAUUAUACCACUCAUAAAUAAACCAAGAGGUAAAGGCUGAGGUAGACCAGCAGCCCCGUUCUCUUUAAGAUAAAAGGACCAAAUCUGAGCCCUACUUUUACACAUCUGAGGGUCUGAAAUAUCCACAGGUACAAAAAUGAAAAGCUGAGGUGACCUUUUCUUCACCAAAGUCUGAAAACAAUUUAAAUAAACUGACCGUUCAAGGCUACGUUAGACCCACAGCUCCUAUGCUCUACACGGUAAAUGAGUGUUUAUGUCAAUGAGGUCAGGUUGUUUUAUAAACCUGGGUCUCAUUUUGAUCUCAAAGUAGAAACUCUUGCACUUCAGCCGCUCCACAAAUGGAGGUCUGCGUUCUCAGAGAAGGACUUUAGACGUUCAAAAUGUAACCCGGUGUUUUCCUUCUCUCGAAGCAGAGUACAAAGAAAGGACUGAAUCCCUGAAAGCAAAUUUAUUUUGGUGCGUUUUGACCCACUCCAUUCCUGAGGUUUCCUGUUUAUAUUCUUUCCUCGUUGUGUCCUUAAAACAUUUUUUGGAUGGAAUAUUUUACAGCAUUACAUUCAAUUUAAGAAUAUGAAAUGAACACACAAAAUAAAGAACACUGGAAAGUCAAAGAUUCUGCUUAAUGGACUCGUCCACCGAUCCAAACCAGGUUUUAGCUUUUGAACAAACUCUUGUAUCUUGUAACUUGUAUUUAUUGUGACAGGUCACUUAUUUUAAGACAAACUAAGUUUAUACACCCUAUAUGCUGAUAGGUCAAAGGUCAUUUAGAACACCUUUGUGUUGACGUCAUUUCACCUGUAGGUGUUCACAGCAUGAUGUCGUGUUCAUGUCGUCUCUUUUUUUCAUCUUUUGGUGUGUCGCCUGAUAUUUGUCACUGUCUCUCUGCCUCGUCUCUGCAGGGGGAUGCUGGUGGCCCCGCCCACCCGGGGCUGGUUCCAGCCAAUCAGGUGCUAAUGUGCGGGAACAGGAGAGGGCUGAGCUGACAGAUGGCGGGCUGACCUGGAAAACCUGCCCCCUUUUCAGGGUUCAGCAGUCGGCAGAUGACAGCAGCACAGCAUCUAUGAAAAGCAAAGAAGAAGAGACGAGGAGGUAAUCAUCUCUGAUCUAUUCUUCUUUUCUGUUUGAGAUUUUAAGAUGUUAGUCUCACAACGUGUUGUAUUCCCUGAUGGGUCAGAAAAAAAAGCCCAAAGUUGAAAAUCCAGCCGGAAAAAAAAGAGAAUAGGUUACAUACAUAUUACCCAUCUUUAAAUAUCGCUGCAGUUUUAUUGCAAACUAAUGACAUGCUGGUUUAGAAACGGGAGAAAUAACCACAAAUGAUUUUUUAUUUUUAGGGCUUUUUCCAUCUUUAUUGGAGAGAGGACAGUGGAUAGAGUCAGAAAUCAGGGAGAGGGAGAGAGAGGAGCCAGAGGUCGGAUUCAAACCCGGGCCGCCCCCUUGGAGGUGUGCCGCCUCAGUACAUGGUGUUUGUCAGUGAAUGUGCAGAGGGCUGAGAACCUACACAGUCAUAUCUGAGCCGUGUAAUCCGUCCGUCUGACCGCGUGUGUCCCGCCUCCAUAAAGCGGCUUGUAAUCCCGCGUUCAGCCAGCAGGAGCCUUAAUUGAAAUAAUCCCUGCCGGUGCUGCACGGAGCCGCGGCUGCAGCCAGUUUCAUGAUGGGUCCAGUUUAACCCACUGUGUGACUCUGACCUUUCCCUCGCCGCUCGCUGGGACCAUCUGAACCCGUCCCAGUAAGGACAUCUGGUGGGAUACUGGGGAGGUCGUUUGAUCCGCCCGACUGCUCCCAGAGGCCUCUCACACCCUGACACGCUUACUGUACCAGACUGAGGGACAGAAAUACAGUUUGAUGUAACAGGAAGGAAGGAGGGAGAUUUUUUUAUUUUAUUUAUUUAACACUUCAACUGUGAAGUCCUAAAUUUCAAAUCAUAAAGAUGGAGCGAGGUUGAUACUGAAGUGUGUGCAAAAGACAAAUGAAUCCAGGUAAGUCAUGUCUUUAUGUCAUGCAAAACAACAUGCAGACAUAAUGAAUCUACAAUAAGAAUAAUCAAAUCCUUGAAUUAACAGGUUAAUCCUGGGGUAAGAAACAUGUCCGACAGAGUAAUCUAAAUCAGCUCUUAAAUGAAACUUUCAAAUAAAAGCGUUGGGUCUGACACCUCCUCGCUCUCUAUGAAUGUUUUACAUCUCUGCACAUAAACUGUGAGACAGAAGAGAAACCUACACAGUGCCUGUUUUUUAAAAAAGAUUUCAAACAUAGCCGCAGUGUUGAAACAGCCGUGUUUAUAUACGCCAUCACCUCAGAGUUAUUAUCCUGCGUGCUCCUCUCUAAUGAACGUCUUUUAUCUCUCUCUGUAUUUAGAGAUUCUGCGUCUGAAUGGAUCUGCUCGCCCUCCUUUUCCUGCCACUGUAUCUCAAACAGCGCGUUAACAUCUGCAGCCCAUUUAGUGCUGCUGACACUGGGCUAAUAACAGUGUGUGUGUGUGUGUGUGUGUGUGUGUGUGUGUGUGUGUGUGUGUGUGUGUGUGUGUGUGUGUGUGUGUGUGUGUGUUAGCGUGUAGCAGCCAACAAGCACAGCUGAAAGGUGUCACCGAGGCUCCUACGCCUCCUCUAACAGCUACUGAUUCAGGGGGCGCUUGCUUUUUUUUCGUUUUUUCUUCUGUUUUUUUUUUUUUUGUGCGGCUUUAAAGGAACAUUCCUCAGGAAUUCUGCAUUUGUUGGACAUCCAGUUUCCUGUAUUUAUUGGUGAGUUUUUUGAGGAAUCAGAAGGUGGCUGCCGCCACCGCAGACACCUGAGGGACUAUUUUCUCUUAAAAAAGAUGUGAUGAGGCUGCAGAUGGAGAGGAGGGGUGUGCGUUUACAACAUCAUUCCUCUCCUCUCUCUUCAUUGUUAUCCUUACAUUUUGAAUUAUUGAUCUUUUACAAACAUUUUUCAAGGUAUCUUAAUUACUCGCAAAAGAAGCGGCGCCUUGGCUGGCGGACAACACAAAUAAGUUAAUUUGCAUUUCUGUGUUGUGAGUGUUUUGGCAGGCGCCGCACCGGUCCAGAUUGUAACCCCUAUUUCUGCCUCCAAAAACCUGCCUUGGAGGAGCGUCCACGGAGGGAUUAGGGAUUUAGUGGGGAAGGUAAGUGUGACUACAAGCUUUGGCUCGCCAUCUGCUCCCCAGCAGAGUUGAGGCCAACCUGUGCAGCCUGCAGCAAAGACCUGGGCACUGUGCUAACUCUGGUUGGAGCCAACCUGGCGCCCGCGGCCCCAAUCACCAACAGUCUGCUGAUUAGUUGUAAGAAGCACUCCAUAUGUAGCAAAGUUUUCUCCCUCCCUGUCUCCUUCCCUUCCUUCCUCUCUUCCUUGUGUAUUCUCUCGCCGCAUUAAAUAAAUAUGGAUGUAUGGAGGGUUUCUUCCCCCUCCGGUUGUCUGGCAGGGUGAAAACGAGCCUCCUCUUCUCGCCUUUUCUCCCUCUCACCUCUGACAGAAUCACCGCGCCAGAAAAAGAAGAAGAAGAAGAAGAAAUCCUGGCUGUCCUCCUCUCUUCUUCUUCCCCUCCCUCGCUCUCGUUUGCCUGGCAGCGCCGGGAGACAGAUGACAAGGGUUUGUGGCCGUCUGAUCACCCCUGGGUGGGUAUUUUCUAAUUUAUUUAACGGCAGCUUAUUAAAGAAAAAACAAGAUGAAGGGGAAGAAAAAAGGAGAGGAAGGAUGCAGGUCUCUCGCCCCGGUGGCCACGGGAGUCGACCCAGCCAAGGAAGCACCAACGAAGAAGAAGAAGAGGCUGCACGGACUCCCUCGGUAGAAACCAGAGAAGAUCAAACGACACCAGAGGAGGAAAAGAAAACACACAAGAAACAUAAUGCUCAUUAUUAAAUUGCAGCCACUCCUGUUGCCAGGAACCUAUUUCUCAGUAUUAAUUAUUCAUAUUUUAUUUCAGUAAUCCAAUACUCAGGUGAGAGCCGCUGCUCUUGAUAAAACAUGUAAUUUCGAAGCUUAAUGGCAGCCGGGCGGCCUCGGCGAGGGAUUAGAAAGCGAGAAUAAAUCACUAAUGGCUGCGGCGGCUUGAAUCCGUCUUGCUUUGUGUUUACUUGUGUUUUAUUGUUGCUCCGAGGGAAACACUCUGCCGUGACCUUUCUGCACAAGUUGAGACACAAGACAGAGAAGAAAAAGGAGGGGAGGAGAUAAAAAAUCACGCUUUCCAGGCAAAAUGAGACGGCGUGAUUUCCUGAUUCGUCUAAACAAAGAGUUCAUCAGCUGCCUCUCCUCCCCGACGAUGGACGGCACACAGCAGAGCGGGCCUGACAUGUUUUGCAAAUGCACACGCGGCCUGAUUCAUACAAAUUAUGUUUUUCAAGAAGGAAAGCACCAUCACUUACUUUUUGAUCCGAUUAGCCGGAUUCUGCUCAUUUUCCUCCUCCCUCUGUGUGAAAUUCAUCUCCUCUUCACACACAAACACCUCCGUUUGUCUGCAGCCAAACUUCUCCUCCAUAAUAACAACGAAUGGGCCGGCAGGAUCUUUGGUCAGGAUUAUAAACACGGUGUUAACUGUACAGCCUGGGGCGGUGUCUUUUUCUUAUUUUAUGCUCCAACAUAAAUGUCUCUGUCAGCUUCUCCUCCAUCGCUCUUAGACGGGCUGACAGCACACGAGGCGUUCACUGCCUCUCUGGAAAAGAGAAACACAGGAUUAUGAGGGGCAGACAUGUUGGAUUUUGGUAACUGUAUUAUUGAGAGUAACAUCUCUGAAGCAGAAUCAUGGCACAGCGGGAGCUGCACAUACACACACAGGCAGACAUGAACGCACACACAGCGCUGUGCUCUCCCACUGGCUCCGCUGAAACCAUCUUGCCUCUGUAACAGCACUGUUACCACCUCAGAAGACGGUGCAGGAGGGGGGAUCACUGCGACCCCCUAUCACGCCUCUGCGACAUUCAGAUCGAAGGUGAAACAUCACAGAAGAAGAAGAAAUCCUGUCUGAAGAAAUCUCUUCUUGUUUGCAAGAAUUGUGACCAUAUGUCGGAUUACCUGCUGUCCAGGUUUCCAAACCUGAGCGCCGCCACCGCUAAAAGAAUGACCUGAAACCCUUAAACCCAGACCAUUAAACCAUUACUAACUGCAAAGUGGUGUAUCGGUGUUACCGUCUUCUCCUCUGUGUUUCCUCUCUCUCUCUGUGCUGUAAAGCACUUUGGAUCAUCAGUUGUAUUUUGUGGUUUUCUUUUUCGGGUAGCAUCAUCUAAAAUCUUUUGAGGGCCAAUGUAUAGUGGUAAUAAUCUUAACCAAACUUAACCCGGUCAAAUCAUAAAUCAGUUUAUGUGUAGCUUACCUGAAGUCGAUCACCUCCACCCUCAGUUCACCGUGAGCAACUUCAGGCAUGAUUAGACGAACGUUACUUUGGGUUAUAAUUCAUUAAGAUUUGCUAAUAUAAAUGUAAAAGUGAAAAGAAAAGGAACUCAUUUAAUUUAUUGUCCUUCUCAAACUGAUUUAUAAACAAUAGAAGUCUUAUUCUUUCUCACAGUAAACACCCCUCUGUAAUCUCCUCCAAUGGUAUAUUCCAACUCCCCUCCACUAGAAAGCCCAUUGGAUGCUUUCACUUCCUGUUUGACUGUUUGAAGUUUGGACACCUGGACAGUGGAAGGAGCUCGCUGUCAUCACGUCCGUCUGCAGCGUCACACCAGACGUUCCGCCCAUCCGUCGGCUUCCACCAAUCGGAGUUGGUUUCGGAUAAAACUCUCGGCCUCCUGUGUGAAAGUCCUGCGUUGUUUUUCUCAUCGAGCGCCCCCACCUGGCGGGCGGCCCAAACAGCCUCAGGCAGAAGCACCAGGCCUCCUUCACGUCAGCUCCGUGUCAUCGGAGCGACCGUGACGCCGCAGCAGAGCCAACGUGACGGGCUGCCUUUUUUUGUCUCGUGCAGUCAUGACGUGGCGUCCGGCCGGAGGACGAGUGUAAUCGCUCGGACAGGUGACACUUCUGAGGAAACCAGAAGAUGACGGGGAGACGACUCGGAUCGGGUGACCUGCACCUCACACGCCGCCUCCAGAACUGCGUCAGAGGAGAAGAGGAAUACAGCAGCAGUUCAGUGACAUGAUAAAGACGAGAACACGGUCACAGGACUCCUGUGGAGGCGAGUUAUAAAAAGACAAACGAGCUCCUGUCACACCCGUCUCGUACUCCUCCUCUCUGAGUUCAAGGUCGCCGUGCGGCUAUUUCCAGCUCGUCUUCACUUUGAUCUGUGUCGCAAAAUGACAAGGAGAGGACGUUCCUGAGGAGGAGCAGCUGAGCUCCAAAGACCUAUUUUUUUUAACCUGCCGCAGGCGUCUCGGUCACCGGCGACGAGCGGAGCAAAUACGAGGAGGACAUCAGCACCCUGUACAAACAGCUGGAUGACAAGGAUGAUGAGAUCAACCAACACAGUCAGCUGGCUGAGAAACUCAAGGAGCAGACAAAAAAGAGGAGGAGGUGAAGGAGGUGCUGCAGGAGCGAGAUCGGACCAACCUGCAGCUGGCAGAGGAGCUGCAGCACAAGACGGACUCUCGUCUGCACAGAAGUGACACCUGAACGUUACACAGACGGAGCAUCACAGGAAGGGCUCAUCUGAGGCCGUGAGCGUCUUCGUCCCCCCCUGGGUGUCUGAGAGCAGAGCCGGGUCUGAGAUGGCAUUUGGUGGUUCACAGCUUCUGUACCUCCUGGGUUUCUGUAGCUCCACCCGUCCCUCCGUCACAGAGACGUCUUCUGACGGUGUGAACGCUCCGUCCUGAUGUGAUUUUGACAGUGUGACUCUGGGGUCGUGGCAGAUAUUCAGCAGGAAACCGGAAGUAUUCGUCGAACAGUUCAGGGACCGAAUGCCGAACAAAGAAGGCCGUCUCAUUCAGCGGUGGGAGACGGUCCUUCACUGAGCUGCGACUCUGUGUUAAAGAAUCAUCUGUUAUUAUGUGGUCGAAGUAAGAGCUUUGCUCAUAAAGACAGACCUAUAGGUAGGUUAUCUAUACAGUGUUGUUACUUAGGCCUAAGUCUGAGGGGGCUCAGUAUGUUGUCUGUAAAGUUGUUGGUUUGUAACUGUCAGACUGUUUGGAGGUUAACUCCUCCAGCUCUUUAAAUAAAUAUAUUUUGUUUACAAA